ACGCUCGACACCUACGGGGGCAGCAGUGGGGAAUAUUGCACAAUGGGGGAAACCCUGAUGCAGCAACGCCGCGUGAAGGAAGACGGUUUUCGGAUUGUAAACUUCUGUUCUUAGUGAAGAUAGUGACGGUAGCUAAGGAGCAAGCCACGGCUAACUACGUGCAAGCAGCCGCGGUAAUCUGAGCGGGCUGGCAAGGC
RNAcentral lists this ribosomal RNA (197 nucleotides) under uncultured bacterium. RNAcentral describes it as "partial 16S ribosomal RNA". It matches the Rfam family "Bacterial small subunit ribosomal RNA", at positions 328 to 539 of the family's 1533-position model. The record is from RNAcentral.